Molecule: ribosomal RNA, 468 nt
Filed under: uncultured bacterium
Lineage: Bacteria
Description: partial 16S ribosomal RNA
Rfam family: Bacterial small subunit ribosomal RNA
Source: RNAcentral
GACGAACGCUGGCGGCGUGCUUAACACAUGCAAGUCGAACGGAAAGGCCCUGCUUUUGCGGGGUGCUCGAGUGGCGAACGGGUGAGUAACACGUAAGUAACCUGCCCUUGACUUUGGGAUAACUUCAGGAAACUGGGGCUAAUACCGGAUAGGAGCUCCUGCUGCAUGGUGGGGGUUGGAAAGUUUCGGCGGUUGGGGAUGGACUCGCGGCUUAUCAGCUUGUUGGUGGGGUAGUGGCUUACCAAGGCUUUGACGGGUAGCCGGCCUGAGAGGGUGACCGGCCACAUUGGGACUGAGAUACGGCCCAGACUCCUACGGGAGGCAGCAGUGGGGAAUAUUGCACAAUGGGCGGAAGCCUGAUGCAGCAACGCCGCGUGCGGGAUGACGGCCUUCGGGUUGUAAACCGCUUUCGCCUGUGACGAAGCGUGAGUGACGGUAAUGGGUAAAGAAGCACCGGCUAACUACGUG